AGGGGAGUAGCUCAAUUGGUAGAGCAUCGGUCUCCAAAACCGAGUGUCGCAGGUUCGAGCCCUGUCUCCCCUGCCA
This 76-nucleotide transfer RNA is filed under the name Pelotomaculum sp. PtaB.Bin104. RNAcentral describes it as "tRNA-Trp". It matches the Rfam family "tRNA". Rfam says of the family: Transfer RNA (tRNA) molecules are approximately 80 nucleotides in length. Their secondary structure includes four short double-helical elements and three loops (D, anti-codon, and T loops). The record is from RNAcentral. Lineage: Bacteria; Bacillati; Bacillota; Clostridia; Eubacteriales; Desulfotomaculaceae.